UCGCUUAAAAAAUCGUUCUCUCCUCAAUAAAUGGAUUUGGAUAUUUGAUAGAGAACCCGAUCGGUUAUGGAGAAGAAUUGUUGUAGUCAAGUAUGGUUUUGAUGCGGGUGUUUAACUUCCCCCUCUGUUGGAUCCGAAAAAAAUGUCAUGGGUUUGGAGAAGUGUAGUUUAGCCCUUAGGUAACCCGGACGAUUCUUUUUCGAAGAGUUCGAGAAUUGUGCUAGGAGACGGGAAGUCGGUUGAUUUUUGGAACGACCACUGGACUUGUUUCUUGUCUUUGAAAGAAUCCUAUCCUCGGAUUUUUGGGCUAGCAACAAAAAAAAUUGGGGAAGGUCUCAGAGUUCGGGUUGAAGAUUGAUGGGAAGUGGUCUUGGAAUAUUGAGAUAAGGAUAAUGCUAUUCUCGUGGGAAUUCAACAUGUGGGAUGAUUUUAUCCGAACUUUAAAUGAAGCAGCUCAAGGAAGUAAGGAAGUGGAUGUGACUCGGUGGGUGGGGGAACCGAGCGGGGUGUACACUCCGAGCUCGUUUUGCUCCGCUUCUGUUCUCGUUGAGGACGAGUGCGAUAAUUUCUGGAGUUUGGUAUGGGCAAACCUUACUCCGCCGAAAGUUGAGCUUCUUGUUUGGAGAGCAGUGCUUCAAAGACUACCUGUUCGGGUGGAGCUCGAAAAACGAGGAUGUUUGAAUUCGGAGUCUUGUGCUUGUAUGUUGUGUUUAAAGGAGUCUGAAUCAGUAAACCACCUGUUUUGUCGGUGUGAGGUUGUAUGGAGAGCCUGGUCAAGGUGGUGUGCCAUAUGGAAUUUGCAUCUGGUGUGCCCGGGUGAUGUGCGAUCCUUCAUCUCGUCGUGGGUAGGAGCCCCAAUUUCCAAAUCCAGCAAACCAGUAUGGAAGCUAGCUUUGUUUGAAUUUUUUGGGUCUAUUUGGCUAUUAAGGAAUGAAAUCAUUUUCAAUAGGAGCAACUGGUCCGAGGAAAAGUUGUUUGACUCGGUCGUUUCGAGAAUUGGGUGUUGGUGCAAGUGGAAGUGGCCUGAGGAAAUCGUUUCAUUUUCCGAUUUUUGCAGUAAUCCCAGUGCGAUGAUUUCUGUUAGAAGGUGAUGUGGCCUAGUGGAUUUGUGUGUGUUUCUGUAUGGUAAGCUGAUGUGUGGGGUUGCUAUUCUAGAGUGAAUUUGCUGAAAGUUAAUGUGGGUCUGUGCUGGGCUGCCUCAGUGGGGUGUUUGACUGGCUGGUGGUGUGGUUUGGCUGGGGCGGGGUGUAGUAGCUCUUUGAUUGCUGAUUUGAGAUGAUUGGUGCGAGGUGACUCUUUUCCUGGAUGUUUUAGCAGGGUCUGUCAAAUGCUGGUCUGUGAUACUUGCUGGGAGGAGAAUAUUCUAAUGCAGCCGGUAUUUCAGUGGUCCUGCCCUCAAUGCUAGUGCUCUGCUAUCGAAUAUAUUCUCUGUCUCGAGUGUCUAGCGGUUCAGCAUCCUAGUACUUUCUCAGUUGCAUAUUAGCAGAGUGGCGGACCGUGGCUUUAUGGUUUGAUGCUUUCGUAGCAGUCCUUGGCUUGAUCAGGGUGUUAUUGGCUGUUGAGGCAAUUUUGUAAGGUGUGUUCUGGUUUCUGUGCUGGUUUUGGCGUGUGCAGCAUUUUUUCCACGUGAGGAGUGCUUUGUGUUUAGCAUUUCGGCAGUGUGCAGCAUUUUUUCCAUGUGAGAAGUGUUUUGUGUUUAGCAUUUCGGCAGUGCUUUGAAGUUUAAGACUGGUGUGAAUCAUUAUGGUUGUUGUUUAUCGUUUUGACAAUUACAUUGUGUACUAUUUUUCUCCGGUUAGGCUUAGAGAGGUAUUUUAA
RNA transcript from Hibiscus syriacus, 1818 nucleotides. RefSeq lists it as uncharacterized. The transcript has 3 exons. NCBI's taxonomy places the organism in Eukaryota, Viridiplantae, Streptophyta, Magnoliopsida, Malvales, Malvaceae. The record is from RefSeq and is a predicted model, not a curated record.